CCACCUAGAGAUAGUUUGACAUCAUCUACCCCAUCUUCGUCUACUGUAUCUAUGCUAGUCAAAUCUUCUGAUGUUGUAUCUACACCAUCUCCACCUCUGACUGAAGUUAGACCAUCUCCAUCACAUCUUGAUGCACAUGGACCGUCCUCGAUACCUACAUCCACACCAUCCCCAUCCUUGAUUGAUGCACGCGGAUUGUCUCUGCUACCUACAUCCACAUCAUCCCCAUACCCG
Molecule: long non-coding RNA, 234 nt
Filed under: Glycine max (soybean)
Lineage: Eukaryota; Viridiplantae; Streptophyta; Magnoliopsida; Fabales; Fabaceae
Description: long non-coding RNA (GMAX_LNC000166)
Source: RNAcentral